This 468-nucleotide ribosomal RNA is filed under the name uncultured bacterium. RNAcentral describes it as "partial 16S ribosomal RNA". It matches the Rfam family "Bacterial small subunit ribosomal RNA", at positions 28 to 507 of the family's 1533-position model. The record is from RNAcentral.
GACGAACGCUGGCGGCGUGCUUAACACAUGCCAGUCGAACGGAAAGGCCCUGCUUUUGUGGGGUGCUCGAGUGGCGAACGGGUGAGUAACACGUGAGUAACCUGCCCUUGACUUUGGGAUAACUUCAGGAAACUGGGGCUAAUACCGGAUAGGAGCUCCUGCUGCAUGGUGGGGGUUGGAAAGUUUCGGCGGUUGGGGAUGGACUCGCGGCUUAUCAGCUUGUUGGUGGGGUAGUGGCUUACCAAGGCUUUGACGGGUAGCCGGCCUGAGAGGGUGACCGGCCACAUUGGGACUAAGAUACGGCCCAGACUCCUACGGGAGGCAGCAGUGGGGAAUAUUGCACAAUGGGCGGAAGCCUGAUGCAGCAACGCCGCGUGCGGGAUGACGGCCUUCGGGUUGUAAACCGCUUUCGCCUGUGACGAAGCGUGAGUGACGGUACUGGGUAAAGAAGCACCGGCUAACUACGUG